This 446-nucleotide ribosomal RNA is filed under the name uncultured bacterium. Its description in RNAcentral is "partial 16S ribosomal RNA". It matches the Rfam family "Bacterial small subunit ribosomal RNA", at positions 338 to 795 of the family's 1533-position model. The record is from RNAcentral.
CCUACGGGAGGCAGCAGUCGAGAAUCAUUCACAAUGGGGGAAACCCUGAUGGUGCGACGCCGCGUGGGGGAAUGAAGGUCUUCGGAUUGUAAACCCCUGUCAUGUGGGAGCAAAUUAAAAAGAUAGUACCACAAGAGGAAGAGACGGCUAACUCUGUGCCAGCAGCCGCGGUAAUACAGAGGUCUCAAGCGUUGUUCGGAAUCACUGGGCGUAAGGCGUGCGUAGGCUGUUUCGUAAGUCGUGUGUGAAAGGCGCGGGCUCAACCCGCGGACGGCACAUGAUACUGCGAGACUAGAGUAAUGGAGGGGGAACCGGAAGUCUCGGUGGAGCAGUGAAAUGCGUAGAUAUCGAGAGGAACACUCGUGGCGAAGGCGGGUUCCUGGACAUUAACGGACGCUGAGGCACGAAGGCCAGGGGAGCGAAAGGGAUUAGAUACCCGAGUAGUC